CGCGAAGUACACACCUGCAUAAGGAAACCAAUAAAGAGCAAUUAUUGUGUUUGCCUCUAAUAAUGUCACAUGCCCAUUGCCCAUAGAACUGAAGGCACCCAUUGCCCAUAGAACUGAAGGCACCUACUGUCUUAAUACAAUGAGCCACAUGAUAGUGUAGGCUAUACAAACAACUUAUGAAGCACCUACAAAUAUAGAAACCAUCAUAAAUAGAUGUAAAAACAUUCCAAGUUAAAACUAAUUAUUCUAGGACGUGGUAUCAAUUGUAAGAAAAUUUGGCGUUGAACUCUAGACUGUAGAAUUUCAGGCAAUCAAAUUGCUUACAAGUUGUAAAACAUAACACUUCGAAACCAUGUAACAGUUGGAUUUGGGAACAAUUUAUGAAGAGCUAUAAAAAUUUUGUUUCAAAAAUUAACUGUCUUAUUGCUGCAUAAAAUUUACACAUGUUCAAGAAAAUAGGUGGAGAAAAGAAACAAGAUAGUCUUUGGGGCUUCAUCUACAAAACUGUCCUAUGGGAUUUGAGAUAUGUUAGGGAGAGAAGUGAUUGUAGACUACUGAGGCCCUGUCAACCCUUAUUUCAUAAGUGUGUCAGCAUUGUUGUUUGCCUUAUAACUUAACUGAUACUUAGACAGAUUAACCAAACAAAAUGGUAGUUGGAAACUUUUAACAGCAACCUUCUCAGUACAAUGCCAAUCCCCAUCCAAAAUCUAUGUUUGGUGCUCUGGGAGGGGAAGCAUGCAGGGAUUUGCAAUUAAUUAUUCAUAUAUGUGCAUGUGUGACAAAUAGAAAUGUAUAGCAUGUGUAAGUAAUUGGAGGCAUUCAUUCACACACACACAUGAGCAUGCACAUACACGGCAAUAGAAGAGAGAGAGAGAGAGAGAGAGAGAGACCAGUCUGACUCAAUGAUACAACAUAUGAGGAACUAUAAACAUUUAUCAGCAUCACAUUGACACUAUCUAUAUCAGAGGCAAGCUAAAGCAUAAGGGAAAUUAAGAGAACUAAACAUGCUUACACAAUAAAAAGAUCUCCAAAAUUGUAAAUACCAAAAAGAAAUGGUGAUGAAUUCCCCUAUGAAUAUUUUUAACGCCAUUGUAU
RNAcentral lists this long non-coding RNA (1095 nucleotides) under Amborella trichopoda. RNAcentral's name for it is "long non-coding RNA (ATRI_LNC001886)". The record is from RNAcentral. Lineage: Eukaryota; Viridiplantae; Streptophyta; Magnoliopsida; Amborellales; Amborellaceae.